AUGACUUUCCCACUUUACUCAAAGAUCACCAGUCCUUUCCAAAAUUUCAAGAAUGUUCAAGUGCAGAUGAUCUCUAAAUGUUGUAAAAACAACAAUACAACAACAAAAUGUGCUGAUGCAAAACAUUUCAGAGAGAAGAUACUGAAGAAGAAAGAGAGGAGAAGUGAUGGAUUGCGCUGAGAGAUAUUGGAGGCAUGAGACGUGCGAGGUGCUGGACUCCAUGACCACUGUAAGUGGAGAGAGAGAUCUGUUUGACAAACGCCGUGCCCUGUACACGCUGUGUAAAAGCUGUCUGACAUCCCACUGUUGACAGGUUUGGCAGAAGAGCUGCAUUGGUGCUCAGAAGUGGAAUUUCAGUGAAUUUUGUUGACUCAAAGUUCACUUUCCCAAGACAAAUAUACUUGAGGGGCGAAACCUCCCCCAGACUUCAUCCGCUGUUUCUCUUUGUAUUUUUGGUUUGAUGGAUAUCAUGUUCCUUUUGUUCUGUUUUUGCCUGGUAAAUGUACAGCACAGUCACUGUUUACAUUAAGGUGUAGCAUUGGCUAAACAAAUCUUAUUAUAUUAUACAGAAAGAGUGACUUUCAGCUGACAGAUAUUUAAUUACACAAUCCGUUGUGCUUUUGCCAUUUAAAUAGGUGUUAUCUCGCCGCUGAGCUGCUGUACAAUGUCAGAGGUCUUUACAAGUGAGUGAAAAUGUCCUCGGCUUUAUUCAGCAUUGGGAUUUAAUAUAAAUUUAUCUCCCCUCAAAAAAGCAUUUCCAUUACAGGAUAAAAUCCAUACUGAGUCUCAAGUCUGACACUCGCGAGACAUCCCUUGAGUUAGACUGACCUAAGAGAACGUGUGAAGUGCAAGCGAAUCGAUUAAAACAUUUGUGUGUGUCAUAAUCGUAACUGUUGGCUUAGAGAUAUCAAUGUCAUCCCGAUGCCACGUGGGGAAUUUAAGGCAUCUUUUCCUGUGAAUUUAUUCUGACAUGGAGGUGACAUCGCCAUAUAUAAAGCUUCUAUUAAUAAAACGCUGACAGCCAAAUGUGCCCGGCACUCCUCCAGGGUUUACUCAGGUUUUUUAAGAUGCAAAGUCUGCCAUUGUGAGUCUCCAAAGGAACACGGAAAUGUGUUCUAAUGUGUGUUACUUGCAUCAGAGAGAUGUUUAUUUGUAGGUAAUGGUUUGUGGAAAAAUCUUCGCUCCAUCAUCUGCAGGACCACCCUUUCUGAGAGAGGCAGGGCGGUAAAUCCAGAGGCGUUUGGCUGUUGAUGGAGUUCUGGGGGACGGCAGCGAUUGCACCUCACUUUAUGAGUGAUUUAGGAUGAGUUUUUCCCUCAAUGUUUUAGUCAUUACUCUUAAUCACACACUUCAGCCAUUCUGUCCGCUUCCGUCGCCCAUUUCCUCUGUCUUCAGGCUGACAUUGACGGAUCGCAGACACCCGCUGUAUCUCCUCUGAGCCAGACA
Long non-coding RNA from Cyprinus carpio carpio, 1446 nucleotides. The record is from Ensembl. NCBI's taxonomy places the organism in Eukaryota, Metazoa, Chordata, Actinopteri, Cypriniformes, Cyprinidae.